GCUCAUGUGGCGAAAUAGGUAGACGCACAGGACUUAAAAUCCUGUAUCCGCAAGGGUGUGCCAGUUCGAUUCUGGCCAUGAGCACCA
Molecule: transfer RNA, 87 nt
Filed under: Silvanigrellaceae bacterium
Lineage: Bacteria; Pseudomonadati; Bdellovibrionota; Oligoflexia; Silvanigrellales; Silvanigrellaceae
Also listed under: 1 other name
Description: tRNA-Leu
Rfam family: tRNA
About the family: Transfer RNA (tRNA) molecules are approximately 80 nucleotides in length. Their secondary structure includes four short double-helical elements and three loops (D, anti-codon, and T loops).
Source: RNAcentral